UGGCUGACGGGGACACCGGCGUGGGUCCCUUGCGUGUCACUCAUCGCCCCCCCUUUGUCCCCAGGCUCCGAUUUCGGGGCGGUGGAGGACGCCCAGACGUACGUCCGUAUGGCGGCCCGUGACGAGCGCCGCUUCCGCGCCGCCGACCGCGACGGUGACAUGGCGGCCACCGCGACCGAGCUGGGCGCCUUCCUGCACCCCGAGGACUUCGAGCACAUGCAGGACGUCGUGGCCAUGGUGUGUCACUCAGUGUCACCCCCCGCUGUCCCCGUGGUGCCACCCGCUGUCCCUUCGGUGUCUGGUGGUGUCCCCUUGGUGUCCCCCUGGUGUCAUCUGAUGUCCCCUUGGUGGCACCUCGGGGCCCUUGGGGUCUCCUGGGGGCUUUUUGUCCCCCUGCUGUCCCCGUGGUGCCACCCGGUGUCCCUUCGGUGUCUGUUGGUGUCCCCACGGUGUCACCUCGGGGCCCUUGGUGUCCCCUUGGUGUCACCAAAGGUCCCUUGGUGUCCUCUUGAUGUCCCCACGGUGGCACUUUGAGGCCCUUGGUGUCCCCUUGGUGUCCCCCUGGUGUCCCUGCGCGUCCCCUGGUGUCACCUGUGGUCCCCUGCUGUCCCCUUGGUCUCCCCCUGUUGUCCCCGUGGUGCCACCCAGUGUCCCUUUGGUGUCUGUUGGUGUCCCCACGGUGUCACCUCGGGGCCCUUGGUGUCCCCAUGGUGUCAUGCAGUGUCCCCUUGGUGUCCCCAGCUGUCUCUUGGUGUCCCCGUUGUCCCUUCUGUACGUCCUGGUGUCCCCAUGGUGUCCCCCAAUGUCCCCUGGAUGCCCUCUGGUGUCCCCUUGGUGUCCCUUGGUGUCCCUGGGUGUCCCCUUGGUGUCCCUUUCUGUCCCCCAGGUGUCCCCUGGGUGUCCCCUUUGUGCCCCCCCCCAAGGCACAGCACCCCCCCCAUGUCCCCCGCAGGAGACAAUAGAGGACAUGGACAAGGAUGGGGACGGCUUCAUCCAGCUGGAGGAGUACAUCGGUGAGGGGGGGCCACCCCAAUUUGUGUCCCCAACCCCACAUCCGUGUCCCCAACCC
This 1069-nucleotide long non-coding RNA is filed under the name Chrysolophus pictus (golden pheasant). RNAcentral's name for it is "lncRNA (ENSCPIG00010004684.1)". The record is from RNAcentral. Lineage: Eukaryota; Metazoa; Chordata; Aves; Galliformes; Phasianidae.